AUGACAAGCAAGCAUGCAAAGAUCCAAAGAAAUACGCUUAAAGAGCUUGAGAUUGAGGAUGAACGUAACCACCACAAAAUGGUUCGCUAUCAUCGUCUCGUCUCUGAAUUGGACUUUCAUGUUUCUUGCUAUCUUUCUCACAACAUGCUUAGCUUCAGAAAAAGAACAGCUAAAGUAGCCUGCAGAAAGAGCUGGAACAUAGAAGAUUUGCACAUGAUAAAGAGUUUCCUUUUUUGCGGGCCGUCGACGGACCAACCGCCCAGCCCGGGACCAAAGGGUCGGGCCGAGAUAUCUACUCCUAAUGGAGCAGUUGGUGAAGGAGCGACGACCCCUGGAUCUAUUCGCGACGCGAACGCCGCCGCCUGGCAGAUCCCAGGCGCUAGCCGCGGAUCCCUUUGCCGGCUCCGAGGGGUCGUGGAGGCGCCGUCGUCGAGGUCCCAAAGGAGGCGCCGCCGCCAUCGUUGUGGACCUCUGGGUCGCCAUCUGGACACCUCUGCUGAGGCAUCAACCACCGUGCUCCCGUCCUCCGGUUCCUCCUGCGUUCGCCACCAUGCGAUCGCCUUCCUCCCUCAGGUUCUUGUACGGAACAUACCACCAAACCCCGAUGAAUCAGUUAGCAAGCCUGUGGAACAUUUCUUCCUUGUCAAUCAUCCUGAUCAUCAUUUGAAACAUCAGGUACGUACUGCCUACUGCUCCCUUGUCCCUUGCUACCGGCUGGGGAUGCUCGGCGGGCAGUCCCUGCUCUCAUUUUCCUCCAGCCUCUGGAGCAACAAUUGUAGCAAGAACAAAUCAGACGGAACAAGUUUGCUACGGGUGGGUGUGCAUCAAGCUGCUUCGUUGCCGGCAGCGAGUAAUCUCACACAUGUUUAUGGCGCAUAUGUACCAGGAAAUUCAAAUGCUUACGGCUUUUUUGUUGAUCCCUUCCCUGUAGGUUCUGAUCAUACGUGCGAGGGGAAUCAGGUAGGGCUUGAUGCGCCUUUCAUACGAAAUGUUGAUGAGAAUUACCCAAGUAGUCCAGGGGGUGGUUCUUCAAUCUUCAGCAAAUCAUCAUCGCCCAUAAAUAAAUCAUCUCUUGCCCGCUUCCUCUGUCCGGUUGUCAACUCAAAUUGCUUUGGUUCACAAAUUCGUUUCAUCGUACAUCUAGCUAACUACUCCAUGAUCACAGCAGUAAACAUUGAUAAGAGUACAAGCAUUGGAGGAGUACUCACCACGUUCGAGGAAGUCGUCAUCAUGGUGGUGGUGGUCGAGGAAGUCGUAGGUGCUGGUGGCAUCAUCACGGAGCAGGCACCAUCUUCUCCUCGACUUAAAAUGUAG
RNAcentral lists this ribosomal RNA (1314 nucleotides) under Triticum aestivum (bread wheat). RNAcentral describes it as "partial small subunit ribosomal RNA". Lineage: Eukaryota; Viridiplantae; Streptophyta; Magnoliopsida; Poales; Poaceae. The record is from RNAcentral.